CCUACGGGAGGCUGCAGUGGGGAAUAUUGGACAAUGGGCGCAAGCCUGAUCCAGCAAUGCCGCGUGGGUGAAGAAGGUCUUCGGAUCGUAAAGCCCUUUCGACAGGGACGAUGAUGACGGUACCUGUAGAAGAAGCCCCGGCUAACUUCGUGCCAGCAGCCGCGGUAAUACGAAGGGGGCUAGCGUUGCUCGGAAUUACUGGGCGUAAGGGGCGCGUAGGCGGCUUAGUCAGUCAGGCGUGAAAUUCCUGGGCUUAACCUGGGGGCUGCGUUUGAGACGGCUGAGCUAGAGGGUAGGAGAGGGUCGUGGAAUUCCCAGUGUAGAGGUGAAAUUCGUAGAUAUUGGGAAGAACACCGGUGGCGAAGGCGGCGACCUGGCCUAUUACUGACGCUGAGGCGCGACAGCGUGGGGAGCAAACAGGAUUA
RNAcentral lists this ribosomal RNA (425 nucleotides) under uncultured bacterium. RNAcentral describes it as "bacterial SSU rRNA". It matches the Rfam family "Bacterial small subunit ribosomal RNA", at positions 338 to 780 of the family's 1533-position model. The record is from RNAcentral.